RNAcentral lists this ribosomal RNA (269 nucleotides) under uncultured Planctomycetales bacterium. Its description in RNAcentral is "partial 16S ribosomal RNA". It matches the Rfam family "Bacterial small subunit ribosomal RNA", at positions 565 to 832 of the family's 1533-position model. The record is from RNAcentral. Lineage: Bacteria; Pseudomonadati; Planctomycetota; Planctomycetia; Planctomycetales.
GAGCACGUAGGUGGGUUUGUAAGUCAGAUGUGAAAGCCUUCUGUUCAACGGAAGAAUUGCAUCUGAAACUACAAACCUUGAGUAUAGGAGGGGAGAAUGGAACUUCUGGUGGAGCGGUGAAAUGCGUAGAUAUCAGAAGGAACGCCGGCGGCGAAAGCGAUUCUCUGGCCUAUUACUGACACUCAGUGUGCGAAAGCUAGGGGAGCAAACGGGAUUAGAUACCCCGGUAGUCCUAGCCGUAAACGAUGGGCACUAAGUAGAGGGGUCUA